Molecule: ribosomal RNA, 760 nt
Filed under: uncultured archaeon
Lineage: Archaea
Description: bacterial SSU rRNA
Rfam family: Archaeal small subunit ribosomal RNA
Source: RNAcentral
CCUUAGCGGGGGAAUCUCGGGAACUGAGAAUAAUACCUCAUAGGCCCGGGAAGCUGGAAUGCUCCCAGGCUGAAAUUUCCGGAGCUCGAGGAUGAGUCUGCGGCCUAUCAGGCUGUAGUGGGUGUAACGGACCCACUAACCUUCGACGGGUACGGGCCUUGAGAGAGGUUGCCCGGAGAUGGAUUCUGAGACACGAAUCCAGGUCCUACGGGGCGCAGCAGGCGCGAAAACUUCGCAAUGUGGGAAACCACGACGAGGGAAUCCCAAGUGCCAACGAUUUUUCGUUGGCUGUUGCCCUGUCUAAAAAACAGGGAGAGUAAGGGCUGGGUAAGACGGGUGCCAGCCGCCGCGGUAAUACCCGCGGCCCAAGUGGUGCUCGUUAUUAUUGGGUUUAAAACGUCCGUAGCCGGUCCGGUAAAUUCUUGGGUAAAUCGACUGGCCUAACCAGUCGAAUUCCGGGGAGACUGCCGGACUCGGGACCGGGGGAGGUCGGAGGUACUUCCAGGGUAGGGGUGAAAUCCUGUAAUCCUGGGGGGACCACCAGUGGCGAAGGCGUCCGACCAGAACGGCUCCGACGGUAAGGGACGAAGCCCUGGGGCGCAAACGGGAUUAGAUACCCCGGUAGUCCUGGGUGUAAACGCUGCAGGCUUGGUGUCGGGGGUUCUACGGGGGCGCCCGGUGCCGGAGCGAAGGUGUUAAGCCUGCUGCUUGGGGAGUACGGUCGCAAGACUGAAACUUAAAGGAAUUGGCGGGGGAGCAC